Molecule: ribosomal RNA, 514 nt
Filed under: uncultured bacterium
Lineage: Bacteria
Description: bacterial SSU rRNA
Rfam family: Bacterial small subunit ribosomal RNA
Source: RNAcentral
AGCGAACGCUGGCGGCAGGCCUAACACAUGCAAGUCGAACGGACCCUUCGGGGUUAGUGGCGGACGGGUGAGUAACACGUGGGAACGUGCCUUUAGGUUCGGAAUAGCUCCUGGAAACGGGUGGUAAUGCCGAAUGUGCCCUUCGGGGGAAAGAUUUAUCGCCUUUAGAGCGGCCCGCGUCUGAUUAGCUUGUUGGUGGGGUAAUGGCCCACCAAGGCUACGAUCAGUAGCUGGUCUGAGAGGAUGACCAGCCACAUUGGGACUGAGACACGGCCCAAACUCCUACGGGAGGCAGCAGUGGGGAAUCUUGCGCAAUGGGCGAAAGCCUGACGCAGCCAUGCCGCGUGUGUGAUGAAGGUCUUAGGGUUGUAAAAUACUUUCACCGGUGAAGAUAAUGACUGUAGCCGGAGAAGAAGCCCCGGCUAACUUCGUGCCAGCAGCCGCGGUAAUACGAAGGGGGCUAGCGUUGCUCGGAAUUACUGGGCGUAAAGGGAGCGUAGGCGGACAUUUAAGU